RNAcentral lists this long non-coding RNA (1230 nucleotides) under Homo sapiens (human). Its description in RNAcentral is "non-protein coding lnc-GALNT15-3:1". The record is from RNAcentral. Lineage: Eukaryota; Metazoa; Chordata; Mammalia; Primates; Hominidae.
GUCACUGGAAUGAUGGAUCUUAGGGGCCCAGGGGUAGCAGAGUGGGAAAGGCUGCACCCAUGCUCUGGAGGGUAGGAGGAUUGUUAUAUGGGACUCACAGCACAAACACGUGUGGAUGCAGUGAUUGUCAAAUGAUCCAAGGGCAUGUCUUGUUGCUCCUAUUUUUUUUUUCCUGUCUGAAUGGAAAACAGCAAUUUCCUCCAUUCCUGGUUAUUGCAGAUGAUCUGAUAAUUUAACCUGAGAGCCGUUAUUUCAUCUUAUUUUAUUUUAAAACUCAAAAGAAGUAUACUGUUCUCAUCUUAAACAGUGAGAUGUCUGGUCUUUAAUAUUACUCUUUCUUAACAUACAAUAAGCUAGCAGUGUGGUGAUGACAUGUAGAUACCUCCUAAUGUGCCAUAAAAUCAAGGCAUGCAUUUUAAAAUGUUUCGUGCCCAGAAAUCCAAACUUUUAUAGUUGUUGAGCAGCCAUCUUCAUAUGGUCUGUUCUGAAUUCUUAAAACCUGCAGGAGCUCAUCAGCCUAACCUGGCCCCUUCCAGCUCAUCCCCAUGUCCUAUUUUGCUAUAUUUGAGCAUAACAAGAUUUUAUCUCUUCCUUUUUAAAAAUUAAUUACCUAAUAAAUAUGACCAAAAAUUGUUAAAUAAUUUUUUAAUUACCUAAUAAAUGUGACCACAAAUAUUAAAUAAAAUUAUAUAGAUUAAAAUGCUGACGUUCUCUUCUCCCCCAUCCUAUUCCCUUGCCUAGAAGGAACUUCUGUAUAAAAAACUUGCUGGGUAUCCUUUUAGAAAUUUUAUGGUAUAUUAAUCUUGUAUACAUAUACAACUGUGGGUACCUAUACAACUAUGUCUCUCUUUCUUUUAAUACACUUCAAAUUCUUGCUAUAUACCAUAAUAUACUUAACCAUAUCUCCAUGAUGGACAUUUAAAUUGUUUGGAGUUUUUGGCUAUUACAAGCAAUAUUGCAGUAAACCUGUUUGUAUAAUUUUUCUGCACAUACUCCUGUAGAAUUACUAGAAGUGCCAUUUCUGAAUAAAAAAUUGACUAGUAUUACCAAGUUACCCUAUAAAAUGCCUAAUCAGUUUAUAUUCUAACAGGGUAUGAAAGUGCCCAUUUCUAGCCAACAUUAGAUACCCUCAGUCUCAUACUUAAGUAUUUUUUUUCCCCUAAUCAGUUAGAUGAAAGGUGAUUUUUUUAACUAACAAUUUUCUGAUUGAAUUUUCUGAUUGUUCCGUAG